Cercocebus atys (sooty mangabey) is the source of this 752-nucleotide long non-coding RNA. RefSeq lists it as uncharacterized. The transcript has 3 exons. The record is from RefSeq and is a predicted model, not a curated record. NCBI's taxonomy places the organism in Eukaryota, Metazoa, Chordata, Mammalia, Primates, Cercopithecidae.
CUCUCGGAGGUGGAGCUUCUGCAGGCUGAGUGCUGCCGGGCCUGCGGGCACCCACCCGCUGGCUCAAUCCUCUGGGUAUUCUGACUCAUGUGUCCAGAGUUGGUUCCUUCUGGUGAGUUUGUGGUCUCGCUGACUUCAAAAAUGGAGCCGAGGACCUUCACGAAAGAAAUAAGGAGACAGAGUAUGAGGCUGCCAAAGUAAUUGGGGGAAAGUCCUGGAAAUGAGGAAACUGCAGAGACAUACAUCUAAAAAAAUCUGCUACAAAUUCACUUCAUGCUAUUGGAUAACUUCUAAGCUGCCCUGUGCAGGGAGAAACGAUGGCAGCUGAGAGACUAAGAGUUAAGUAGAGACUUCUAUGUGCUGCACAGUGCUGGAAAGAUGGAGGCUAUACUUCCAGCUCCAUCAGGAUGGGAGAGCCUUGGCAAAAACGAACCUUUUGGCUGAAAUUCCAUAGGGACAUGCCCUAGACAUAAGAAUUAUACUUUACUAGUAAGAACAAAAUUCGGUAGCUUAAAUCUAAUCCUUGACAGGUUCAAGGUGAUCUGUUUGAAGACAUAUGUGUUGUCCUACACUUUUUCAUCUACAAUGUUGUCAAGAAAAUUAAAAAUUAUGAGGCAUAUUGAAAAGAUGAGAGAGGGAGAGAGAAGAUAAUGGAAUCAGUUCUAUAGGAUUCAGGUAUUGAAUUUAUCAGACAAGGACUUUAAAAUAACUAUGAUUGCACUUUGGGAGUCCAAGGCAGGUGGAUCACCUGA